UACGAAGGGGGCUAGCGUUGUUCGGAAUUACUGGGCGUAAAGCGCGCGUAGGUUGUGCAGCAAGUCAGUGGUGAAAUCCCGGAGCUUAACUUCGGAACUGCCAUUGAAACUGCUGUACUGGAAUCUCAGAGGGGAUAGCGGAAUUCCAAAUGUAGGGGUGAAAUCCGUAGAUAUUUGGAGGAACACCGGUGGCGGAGGCGGCUAUCUGGAUGAGUAUUGACACUGAGGCGCGAAAGCGUGGGGAUCAAACAGG
This 253-nucleotide ribosomal RNA is filed under the name uncultured bacterium. RNAcentral's name for it is "partial 16S ribosomal RNA". It matches the Rfam family "Bacterial small subunit ribosomal RNA", at positions 524 to 776 of the family's 1533-position model. The record is from RNAcentral.